UACAGAGGUGGCAAGCGUUGUUCGGAAUUACUGGGCGUAAAGGGCGCGUAGGCGGUUGCCUAAGUCGGACGUGAAAUCCCCAAGCUUAACUUGGGAACUGCAUCUGAUACUGGGUGACUUGAGUUCGGGAGAGGAAUGUGGAAUUCCAGGUGUAGCGGUGAAAUGCGUAGAUAUCUGGAGGAACACCGGUGGCGAAGGCGGCAUCCUGGACCGACACUGACACUGAGGAGCGAAAGCCAGGGGAGCAAACGGG
RNAcentral lists this ribosomal RNA (253 nucleotides) under uncultured bacterium. RNAcentral describes it as "partial 16S ribosomal RNA". It matches the Rfam family "Bacterial small subunit ribosomal RNA", at positions 524 to 776 of the family's 1533-position model. The record is from RNAcentral.